Long non-coding RNA from Glycine soja, 1058 nucleotides. RefSeq lists it as uncharacterized. The record is from RefSeq and is a predicted model, not a curated record. NCBI's taxonomy places the organism in Eukaryota, Viridiplantae, Streptophyta, Magnoliopsida, Fabales, Fabaceae. The transcript has 2 exons.
GUAACUAGAAAUUUUUCUUAUGAGGCCUAUAUCAACCAGUCUUUUGAACCUUAGAUAUAUAUACCUAUCGAGAUAAUUUGAGAAUCCCAGGAAAAUGGUGCAACUCAAGAUCGUAGCCUUAACCUUGCUGGUGUUCUAGUGGUCAUGGUGGAGCUUUGAGGGUGCAGUUGGAGACCCUCAACUCCUUUUACUCACAUCGGAGUGCAGCGGAUUCACGGUACCGAACUUGUCCAAUUUCUACCAAAAUCUAAACGCAAGUUUGGAAGACCUGAGAGCACAGGUGAGCAACCAAAGCCAACACUUCGCCAAAGCUCAAUCAACUAGCUGAACCCUGUCUACGCCGUGUUCCAAUGCAGGAACUACCUCUCCAACAAUGACUGCGCCACCUGCUUUGUCGCCAUUGCCACCAAAUCCGUGACUGCUCCACUGGAACCAACAACAGUGCCCGUCGUUUAUGGCGGCUGCUUCCUCAGAUUUGAAAACUCGAGGUGUCAAUAGCAAAACAUGGGCAAAUAACACAAAAAAGGAAGAAAACAGAAAAGGCUCAGCCCAGACUCACGCUUAGCGCACAACUCGCGCUAAGCGAGACAGGUGGCACAGGCGUUAAGCUCGAGGCUCGCGCUAAGCACGCAGCACAGCUGAGCAGCGUAACUAAAAACAAAACGCGCUAAGCGCACAGCCCGCGCUUAGCGCACGAUCCAACAGAAGCAGCACGCGCUAAGGGCACGAUCUGAACGCGCUAAGCGAGGGGCGCCGCGCUGAGCGACCCUGCGAAGGCCCAAAGCCCACUCCAGCAACUAUAAAUAGAGAGCUCAGCCAAGGGAAACGACACACCGAGUCUCAGAGUACUCCUAUCACUACCUUAAGCCUGAGAACUCCUCCUCUCUUCUCUCUCUAUCAUUUGUAUCCAUUCUUUCUUUCACCCCUCUCAUUAUAAAGUCCUCAUGGUCAUGAGUGGCUAAUCCCUUAGUUAGGGUCUAGCAGGCCUAAAAAGUCAAGCGAUGUAUGGUGUACUUUAGACUUAUCAAUGCAAAAGAAGUUCUUUCCAGGUUUUUCUA